RNAcentral lists this unclassified non-coding RNA (241 nucleotides) under Hevea brasiliensis (rubber tree). Lineage: Eukaryota; Viridiplantae; Streptophyta; Magnoliopsida; Malpighiales; Euphorbiaceae. The record is from RNAcentral.
UUUCUCGCAAUCCCGACCAUGGUCGGCGCGUUUGUCUACGAUUUUUACAAGAACCGCGCUGACAUGACGAUGGAUCACGGGUUGAUCAUCGCAGUCGGUUUCGUGGUGUCGUUCAUCACGGCGAUCAUCGUGGUGAAGACGUUCCUGGACUAUGUCACCCGCCACGGCUUCGCGCUGUUUGCAUGGUGGCGCGUGAUCGUCGGCUCGCUCGGCCUGAUCGCGCUGGCGCUCGGGAAGUAAC